Ipomoea nil (Japanese morning glory) is the source of this 195-nucleotide long non-coding RNA. RefSeq lists it as uncharacterized. The record is from RefSeq and is a predicted model, not a curated record. NCBI's taxonomy places the organism in Eukaryota, Viridiplantae, Streptophyta, Magnoliopsida, Solanales, Convolvulaceae. The transcript has 2 exons.
GGACAACAAUUGGAGUCUACAUAAUUUGGUUUUGAGGUUUAUUUAUGUCCCGACUCCACAUACAUCAUUGGCUCUUUCAAGAGAAAUGUUGAAAUGUAUUUUGGAUUGGAAUCUUGAGAGAAAGUUGUCUGCAAUAACUGUUGAUAAUUGUUCAACUAAUGAUGCUUUAAUUGAGCACGUUGUGUCCAAGCUUAA